This 486-nucleotide ribosomal RNA is filed under the name uncultured bacterium. Its description in RNAcentral is "bacterial SSU rRNA". It matches the Rfam family "Bacterial small subunit ribosomal RNA", at positions 28 to 507 of the family's 1533-position model. The record is from RNAcentral.
GACGAACGCUGGCGGCGUGCUUAACACAUGCAAGUCAACGAGAAAGGAGUAGCAAUAUUCCGAGUAAAGUGGCGCAAGGGUGAGUAACACGUAAGUAAUCUGCCCAUAGAAGUGGAAUAACGUAGAGAAAUUUGCGCUAAUACCGCAUAAUGCAGCGGCACCGCAUGGUGAUGUUGUUAAAGUAUAAUUUACGUCUAUGGGAUGAGCUUGCGUCUGAUUAGCUAGUUGGUAAGGUAAUGGCUUACCAAGGCAACGAUCAGUAGCUGGUCUGAGAGGAUGAUCAGUCACACUGGAACUGAGACACGGUCCAGACUCCUACGGGAGGCAGCAGUGAGGAAUAUUGGGCAAUGCCCGCAAGGGUGACCCAGCAACGCCGCGUGGAGGAUGAAGGUCGUAAGAUUGUAAACUCCUGUUAGAAGGGAAGAAUAUCCGGGAUUGAAUCCCGGUUUGACUGUACCUUCAGAGAAAGCCCCGGCUAACUACGUG